This 457-nucleotide ribosomal RNA is filed under the name uncultured bacterium. RNAcentral describes it as "partial 16S ribosomal RNA". It matches the Rfam family "Bacterial small subunit ribosomal RNA", at positions 338 to 795 of the family's 1533-position model. The record is from RNAcentral.
CCUACGGGAGGCAGCAGUGGGGAAUAUUGCACAAUGGGGGAAACCCUGAUGCAGCGACGCCGCGUGAGUGAAGAAGUAUUUCGGUAUGUAAAGCUCUAUCAGCAGGGAAGAAACCCACCCUCCGGGGUGGCUGACGGUACCUGACUAAGAAGCCCCGGCUAACUACGUGCCAGCAGCCGCGGUAAUACGGAGGGGGCAAGCGUUAUCCGGAUUUACUGGGUGUAAAGGGAGAGUAGGUGGCAAGGCAAGUCAGAUGUGAAAACCCGGGGCCCAACCCCGGGAGUGCAUUUGAAACUGUCUGGCUAGAGUGCAGGAGAGGUAAGUAGAAUUCCUAGUGUAGCGGUGAAAUGCAUAGAGAUUAGGAGGAAUACCAGAGGCGAAGGCAGCUUACUGGACUGUAACUGACACUGAGGCUCGAAAGCGUGGGGAGCAAACAGGAUUAGAUACCCCAGUAGUC